AUGGUGCUCGCCCGCAAGAAGCUGAAGCAGAAGCUCCACACGCUCCUCCCCGGCGGGGGCGCCGAGGGGGAGGCCGCCGCGGAGGCGAGGAAGAUAAAGGUGCGGCUGGUGGCCUCCAAGCGGCCCCGGCCCAAGCGUCCGGGGCCCCGCCCUCCCCGGACCAAGAGUGCCAAGAACAAGAAGGCGUCUCCGGAGAAGUCACCCGCUCCGGCGGUGGACGUGGAGGACCCGGAGGAGAAGGCGGAGGAGGAGCCGGCGGUGGACGUUGCGGAGGGCCUGGAGGAGCCUGCCGUGGGCGAGGGGGAACCUGCGUCGAAGGCGGAGCUGGAGCGACGGAGGAAGGAGAGGAGGAAGGAGGAGAAGGAGAAGAGGAAGAAGAAGAAGGAGAAGAUGCGGGCGAGGAAGUUGGCGGAGGCGGAGGCCGCCGCGAACAAGAAGUCCGAGGAAGAGCCGGGGAAGCAGGGCCUUGAAGCUGACGGUGCUGAGGACCUGGAGGAGCUGGAGGUGGACGAGGCGGCCCUGGCGCAGAAGGCGGAGGUGAUGCGGCGGAGGGAGGAGAGGAGGAAGGAGAAGAAGGAGAAGAGGAGGGUCAGGAGACUGAUGGAGGCGGAGGCGGCGGCGAACAAGAAGUCUGAUGAAGAGGCGGAGGAGCAGGACGUGGAAGUGGCCGGCGCUGAUCCGGCCGUGCCAGACGACAGUGAACACAAUCUAGACGCCACAAAGGUGGAAGGAGAGGCGAAGGAAAUUAAGUCAGAAGAGGUGAAGAAAAUCAAGUCAGAAGAGCCUGGCCAGGCAGGUGUAUCUGACAAUCCAAUUGCGCCGCAUGAUAGUGAGCAAAGUAUAAAGAAGGUGUAUGUUGGUGGCAUCCCGUACUAUUCAUCUGAGGAUGACAUUAGAAGUUUCUUUGAAGGAUGUGGAAGUAUCACUGCGCUGGACUGCAUGACAUUUCCUGACACCGGGAAAUUCAGGGGUAUUGCCAUUCUCACAUUCAAGACUGAUGCCGCUGCAAAAAGGGCAUUGGCUCUUGAUGGUGCAGAUAUGGGAGGAUUCCUUUUGAAAGUCCAGCCUUACAAAGCUAACCGCGAAAAGGUCAAAUCUAACCAUGAGAAGGAAGAUUUUGCACCAAAGAUGAUAGAGGGAUACAAUAGGACAUAUGUUGGAAACCUAGCUUGGGACGUAACAGAGGAUGAUCUGAGGAAGUUCUUUUCUGAUUGCAAGAUCUCAUCCGUCCGUUUUGGAACAGACAAGGAGACAGGUGAAUUCAAAGGCUUCGCGCAUGUUGAUUUUUCUGAUAGCACAUCUCUUGCUAUUGCUCUGAAGCUUGACCAGAACGUGAUUAAGGGGAGACCAGCCAGAAUCAGAUGUGCCGUUCCAAAGAAAGAAAACCAGAAACCAAAUGACAAUGCGGCAACUUCAGAUUCAUCAAAGAACAACAUCCGUACAUGUUAUGAAUGUGGCACUCCUGGCCAUCUAUCUUUUGCUUGCCCUAAUAAGAAGGUUUCUGAAGUCAUAUCCAGUGAAAAUAAGGAUAAUACUGAUUCAGCUGAAGCAUUGUCGAAGAAGAGGCGCACGUGUUAUGAAUGUGGCGUUCCUGGCCAUAUAUCGUCAGCUUGCCCCAACAAAAAGGCUUCUGAAGUCAUAGCUGAUGAAACUAAGGCCAAUAUUGACUCUGCCACAACAGCAUCGAAGAAGAGACGGACAUGCUAUGAAUGUGGCAUUCCUGGUCAUCUGUCAUCUGCUUGCCCAAAUAAAAGUGCUCCUGAAGUCAUAGCUGAUGACUAUAAGGCCAAUACUGAAUCUGCCACAACAGCGUCGAAGAAGAGACGGACAUGCUAUGAAUGUGGCAUUCCUGGUCAUCUAUCAUCUGCUUGCCCAAAUAAAAGUGCUCCUGAAGUCAUAGCUGAUGAAAAUAAGGCCAAUACUGAAUCUGCCUCAACAGCGUCGAAGAAGAGACGGACAUGCUAUGAAUGUGGCGUCUCCGGUCAUCUCUCGUCAGCUUGCCCCAACAAAAAGGCCACUGAGAUUAAUCCUGAGGAAGCAGCUAAACCUGUUGGUGGCUCAAGUACGGAACCUUCAGCCGUUUCUGGUGAAAAUAAACCUAGUGACGACACAAGCUCUGCGCCUCCAAAGAAAAAGAAGAGAAGGACGUGCUAUGAAUGCGGCAUAGCUGGUCAUCUCUCAUCAGAAUGCCCCAACAAGGCCAAAUGA
RNAcentral lists this ribosomal RNA (2208 nucleotides) under Triticum aestivum (bread wheat). RNAcentral's name for it is "partial small subunit ribosomal RNA". The record is from RNAcentral. Lineage: Eukaryota; Viridiplantae; Streptophyta; Magnoliopsida; Poales; Poaceae.